This 237-nucleotide ribosomal RNA is filed under the name uncultured bacterium. Its description in RNAcentral is "partial 16S ribosomal RNA". It matches the Rfam family "Bacterial small subunit ribosomal RNA", at positions 118 to 352 of the family's 1533-position model. The record is from RNAcentral.
UGAGGAACAUGACUUUCGGUGGGGGAGUAGCCGGCCCAACGGCCGGGUAAUACCGCGUACGACCAUUUGGGGACAUCCCCGAGUGGUGAAAGCAGCAAUGCGCCGAAAGAGUGCCUCGCGGCCUAUCAGUUAGUUGGCGAGGUAACGGCUCACCAAGGCGACGACGGGUAGCCGGCCUGAGAGGGUGACCGGCCACACUGGGACUGAGACACGGCCCAGACUCCUACGGGAGGCAGC